GACGAACGCUGGCGGCGUGCUUAACACAUGCAAGUCGAACGGAAAGGCACGGCUCUUUUCUGGUGCUCGAGUGGCGAACGGGUGAGUAACACGUGAGUAACCUACCCUUGACUUUGGGAUAACCUCAAGAAACUGGGGCUAAUACCGGAUAGGAGCUCCUGCUGCAUGGUGUUGGUUGUAAAGGUUCGGCGGCUGGGGAUGGACACGCGGCUUAUCAGCUUGGUGGUGAGGUAGUGGCUUACCAAGGCUUUGACGGGUAGCCGGCCUGAGAGGGUGACCGGGCACAGUAGCACUCAGCUACGGGCCGGAGCCCUACGGGAGACAGCGCAGUGGCAUCGUGGACGAUGCGCCGAGGCCGGGUGCAGGAACGCCGCGUGCGGGAUGGCGGCCUUCGGGUAGUAAAGAGCUUUCGCCUGUAACGGAGCAUGAGUGACGGUAACGGAUAAAGAAGCACCGGCUAACUACGUG
Molecule: ribosomal RNA, 468 nt
Filed under: uncultured bacterium
Lineage: Bacteria
Description: partial 16S ribosomal RNA
Rfam family: Bacterial small subunit ribosomal RNA
Source: RNAcentral